RNAcentral lists this transfer RNA (64 nucleotides) under Choroterpes yixingensis. RNAcentral's name for it is "tRNA-His". The record is from RNAcentral. Lineage: Eukaryota; Metazoa; Arthropoda; Insecta; Ephemeroptera; Leptophlebiidae.
AUCUUAAUAGUUUAUAUAAAAUUUUGGGUUGUGGUGCCAAAGAAAUAAUUUAUUAUUUAAGAUA